RNAcentral lists this ribosomal RNA (603 nucleotides) under Clostridioides difficile. Its description in RNAcentral is "partial 23S ribosomal RNA". It matches the Rfam family "Bacterial large subunit ribosomal RNA", at positions 1 to 599 of the family's 2925-position model. Lineage: Bacteria; Bacillati; Bacillota; Clostridia; Peptostreptococcales; Peptostreptococcaceae. The record is from RNAcentral.
GGUUAAGUUAGAAAGGGCGCACGGUGGAUGCCUUGACACUAGGAGUCGAUGAAGGACGGGACUAACGCCGAUAUGCUUCGGGGAGCUGUAAGUAAGCUUUGAUCCGAAGAUUUCCGAAUGGGGAAACCCACCAUACGUAAUGGUAUGGUAUCCUUAUCUGAAUACAUAGGGUAAGGAAGACAGACCCAGGGAACUGAAACAUCUAAGUACCUGGAGGAAGAGAAAGCAAAUGCGAUUUCCUGAGUAGCGGCGAGCGAAACGGAACAUAGCCCAAACCAAGAGGCUUGCCUCUUGGGGUUGUAGGACAUUCUAUACGGAGUUACAAAGGAACGAGGUAGACGAAGCGACCUGGAAAGGUCCGUCGUAGAGGGUAACAACCCCGUAGUCGAAACUUCGUUCUCUCUUGAAUGUAUCCUGAGUACGGCGGAACACGUGAAAUUCCGUCGGAAUCUGGGAGGACCAUCUCCCAAGGCUAAAUACUCCCUAGUGAUCGAUAGUGAACCAGUACCGUGAGGGAAAGGUGAAAAGCACCCCGGAAGGGGAGUGAAAGAGAUCCUGAAACCGUGUGCCUACAAAUAGUCAGAGCCCGUUAACGGGUGAUGG